Molecule: long non-coding RNA, 595 nt
Organism: Hyla sarda
Lineage: Eukaryota; Metazoa; Chordata; Amphibia; Anura; Hylidae
Exons: 5
Source: RefSeq, a predicted model, not a curated record
GCAGAUGUCCCUGCACAUGAACGUCCCUGUGCGUCGUCGUCAAGGCAACGUAACUAGUCCGGGGCCGGCCCGGAGUGUAGAAGAGGGCCUCUCGGUGAAAAUGGACAGCCCGUAACGACUAACCCUCCCCACCGGACGGUCCCUGCAGCAUAGAUGGCCCGGACCAGCUCACCCUUCCUUCCCACCGAGGGGAGUGGAUGUGCUCAAGGGCCAAAUGAUUCCCCCAGCAAUGACAACUGAUAACAGAGGGAAGCAAUCUGCGACUUGCGUUGGGACAGCUCAAGAAAAACAUAGUUGUUCAAAGGGCCACCAUUAUGCACAUGUCUUUAGUACCUAACUGAAAGUUGAAUUCGCAGAAACAAUCAUGUAACCAACAGGGUCCGAGGCUUAUAAGAAGAAACAGGACAUAUCAUGUACCAGACUAAACAAGCUAGCUGACAGAUCCCUAACUAAACUCCUAUCAAGAGAUGGACUGCACUGCUGAAUUGAGUCCAAAACGCACAAAGCUGCAUGAGAAAAGCCAAUGAAUCAGCAUUGAGUCAGUCAUCAAUUGAACUGCACUACUUCAACAUACUCUACAGACAGAGAUAUCAGG